Molecule: ribosomal RNA, 445 nt
Filed under: uncultured bacterium
Lineage: Bacteria
Description: partial 16S ribosomal RNA
Rfam family: Bacterial small subunit ribosomal RNA
Source: RNAcentral
GUAAGGAAUAUUGGUCAAUGGGCGGAAGCCUGAACCAGCCAUGCCGCGUGCAGGACGAAGGCCCUACGGGUCGUAAACUGCUCUUGUACGGGAACAACCGCAGUUACGUGUAACUGUCUGUGUGUACCGUAAGAAUAAGGAUCGGCUAACUCCGUGCCAGCAGCCGCGGUAAUACGGAUGAUCCGAGCGUUAUCCGGAUUUAUUGGGUUUAAAGGGUGCGUAGGCGGCAGUUUAAGGCAGGAGUGAAAGACGGUGGCUCAACCAUCGCAGUGCUCUUGAUCCUGAACUGGUUAAAUGACAUUGAAGACGGCGGAAUGAGACGAGUAGCGGUGAAAUGCAUAGAUAUGUCUCAGAAGCACGAUAGCGAAGGCAGCUGUCUAAACGUUUAUUGACGCUGAUGCACGAAAGCGUGGGGAUCGAACAGGAUUAGAUACCCGUGUAGUCC